GGGGAGGGGGGGGCUAAUACGUGCAAGUCGAACGCACAGCGAAAGGUGCUUGCACCUUUCAGUGAGUGGCGAACGGGUGAGUAACACGUGGACAACCUGCCUCAAGGCUGGGGAUAACAUUUGGAAACAGAUGCUAAUACCGAAUGAAACUUAGUGUCGCAUGAUACGAAGUUAAAAGGCGCUUUGGCGUCACCUAGAGAUGGAUCCGCGGUGCAUUAGUUAGUUGGUGGGGUAAAGGCCUACCAAGACAAUGAUGCAUAGCCGAGUUGAGAGACUGAUCGGCCACAUUGGGACUGAGACACGGCCCAAACUCCUACGGGAGGCUGCAGUAGGGAAUCUUCCACAGUGGGCGAAAGCCUGAUGGAGCAACGCCGCGUGUGUGAUGAAGGCUUUCGGGUCGUAAAGCACUGUUGUAUGGGAAGAACAGCUAGAAUAGGGAAUGAUUUUAGUUUGACGGUACCAUACCAGAAGGGGACGGCUAAAUACGUGCCAGCAGCCGCGGUAAUACGUAUGUCCCGAGCGUUAUCCGGAUUUAUUGGGCGUAAAGCGAGCGCAGACGGUUGAUUAAGUCUGAUGUGAAAGCCCGGAGCUCAACUCCGGAAUGGCAUUGGAAACUGGUUAACUUGAGUGCAGUAGAGGUAAGUGGAACUCCAUGUGUAGCGGUGGAAUGCGUAGAUAUAUGGAAGAACACCAGUGGCGAAGGCGGCUUACUGGACUGUAACUGACGUUGAGGCUCGAAAGUGUGGGUAGCAAACAGGAUUAGAUACCCUGGUAGUCCACACCGUACACGAUGAACACUAGGUGUUAGGAGGUUUCCGCCUCUUAGUGCCGAAGCUAACGCAUUAAGUGUUCCGCCUGGAGAGUACGACCGCAAGGUUGAAACUCAAAGGAAUUGACGGGGACCCGCACAAGCGGUGGAGCAUGUGUUUUAUUUCAAAGCAACGCGAAAAACCUUACCAGGUCUUGACAUCCUUUGAAGCUUUUAAAAGAUAGAAGUGUUCUCUUCGGAAACAAAGUGACAGGUGGUGCAUGGUCGUCAUCACCUCGUGUCGUGAGAUGUUGGGUUAAGUCCCGCAACGAGCCCACCCUUAUUGUUAGUUGCCGGCAUUCAAAGGGCCCCUCUAAGGAGACUGCCGGUGAAAAACCGGAAGAAAGGCGGGGAACAAGUCCGAAUCUCAUGCCCCUUAAGACCGGGCCAACCCCGGGGUAAAAAGGGCCUAAAAAAAAAGUUGCCCACCCCGGGGGUGGCCCAUUCCUUUAAGGGCCCCCCAAUUCCGAAUUGGGCCCCCCCCCCCCAAACUUGGAACCCGCAACCCUUUUAAACCGGAAACCCCCCCCCGGGGAAAAAAUUUCCCCGGCUUUUAACCCCCCCCCUCCCCCGGGGGGUUUUUAAUGCCCAAAGCCGGUGGCCUAACCUUUAGGAAGGAGCCGUUCUAAGGCAGACCAGGGGCC
RNAcentral lists this ribosomal RNA (1452 nucleotides) under Leuconostoc mesenteroides. RNAcentral describes it as "partial 16S ribosomal RNA". It matches the Rfam family "Bacterial small subunit ribosomal RNA". Lineage: Bacteria; Bacillati; Bacillota; Bacilli; Lactobacillales; Lactobacillaceae. The record is from RNAcentral.